Long non-coding RNA from Thalassophryne amazonica, 155 nucleotides. RefSeq lists it as uncharacterized. The record is from RefSeq and is a predicted model, not a curated record. The transcript is spliced from 3 exons. Lineage: Eukaryota; Metazoa; Chordata; Actinopteri; Batrachoidiformes; Batrachoididae.
AAGGAGACGUGUUAGGGUAUAUAGGGAGAAGGAUGCUGAGGAUAGAGUCACCAGGGAGGAGGAGAAGAGGGAGUCCAAAUAGGAGAUUUAUGGACGUGUUGAGGGAGGACAUGCAGGUGGUUGGUGUCACAGAAGGAAGACACAGAGGACAGGGU